This 360-nucleotide RNase P RNA is filed under the name SAR116 cluster bacterium. RNAcentral describes it as "RNase P RNA component class A". It matches the Rfam family "Bacterial RNase P class A". Rfam says of the family: Ribonuclease P (RNase P) is a ubiquitous endoribonuclease, found in archaea, bacteria and eukarya as well as chloroplasts and mitochondria. Its best characterised activity is the generation of mature 5'-ends of tRNAs by cleaving the 5'-leader elements of precursor-tRNAs. The record is from RNAcentral. Lineage: Bacteria; Pseudomonadati; Pseudomonadota; Alphaproteobacteria; Puniceispirillales (SeqCode).
GUAGGUUAUUGGAUAGUCGCUGAAAAAAUCAGAGGAAAGUCCGGGCUCCACAAGACAAUGAUGCCGGGUAACACCCGGCUAGAAUUUAUUCUAAGGGAAAGUGCAACAGAAAAAAUACCGCCAAUAAUUGGUAAGGUUGAAAUGGUGAGGUAAGAGCUCACCGCAAUUAUGGCAACAUAAUUGGCUAUGUAAACCCCAUCAGGAGCAAAACCAUAUAGAGGUGAGAGCUUUUAAAGCUGAAUGUCUUGAUAAAUCACCUGGGUAGGUUGCUUGAAAUUAUUAGUAAUAAUGAUUCCAGAUGAAUGACUAUCGUUAAUAGCAUUAUUAAUACAGAACCCGGCUUAUAGAUAACUUACCAUU